Molecule: long non-coding RNA, 353 nt
Organism: Telopea speciosissima
Lineage: Eukaryota; Viridiplantae; Streptophyta; Magnoliopsida; Proteales; Proteaceae
Exons: 2
Source: RefSeq, a predicted model, not a curated record
UAAUUGUCACUGAAUUUUCUAGUCUUAAAGACUCCUAUGCUAAAUAAACAAAUUCAAUCAGAUUAAUAAAUUCAACUUUAUCGAAAUCUAUAAAUCUGUCUUCCUCCAUCUGAGUAAGUUUAAUACAGUGCCUAUUAGCCUGCAAAUCUAGCUCCCCAGUUGGCAAAAUGCAAUUAAUAUAUCUAUAAAUACCGAAGGCACGGUUGAUUUGUAUAUUAAAAACAACCAUCGGAUAGUAACAUCCAGUUCACUAUGCUUCCCUUCCUGUAUAUUAAGAACUUUGUAAAACGAAAUUUACUUCCAAUGGGUUCUCCAUUCUACAAACUAAAUCUAAAAACUAAAUGGGAUCAGAU